RNAcentral lists this ribosomal RNA (358 nucleotides) under uncultured bacterium. RNAcentral's name for it is "bacterial SSU rRNA". It matches the Rfam family "Bacterial small subunit ribosomal RNA", at positions 9 to 353 of the family's 1533-position model. The record is from RNAcentral.
GAGUUUUGAUCCUGGCUCAGGAUGAACGCUAGCUACAGGCUUAACACAUGCAAGUCGAGGGGAAACGAGUAUUGGAAGCUUGCUUCCGAUAGGCGUCGACCGGCGCACGGGUGAGUAACGCGUAUCCAACCUGCCCACCACUUGGGGAUAACCUUGCGAAAGUAAGACUAAUACCCAAUGAUAUCUCUAGAAGACAUCUGAAAGAGAUUAAAGAUUUAUCGGUGAUGGAUGGGGAUGCGUCUGAUUAGCUUGUUGGCGGGGUAACGGCCCACCAAGGCGACGAUCAGUAGGGGUUCUGAGAGGAAGGUCCCCCACCAUUGGAACUGAGACACGGUCCAAACUCCUACGGGAGGCAGCA